UACGGAGGAUCCAAGCGUUAUCCGGAUUUAUUGGGUUUAAAGGGUGCGUAGGUGGCUUAUUAAGUCAGGGGUGAAAGACGGUAGCUUAACUAUCGCAGUGCCUUUGAUGCUGAUGAGCUUGAAUGAACUAGAGGUAGGCGGAAUGUGACAAGUAGCGGUGAAAUGCAUAGAUAUGUCACAGAACACCAAUUGCGAAGGCAGCUUACUAUGGUUUUAUUGACACUGAGGCACGAAAGCGUGGGGAUCAAACAGG
This 253-nucleotide ribosomal RNA is filed under the name uncultured bacterium. RNAcentral's name for it is "partial 16S ribosomal RNA". It matches the Rfam family "Bacterial small subunit ribosomal RNA", at positions 524 to 776 of the family's 1533-position model. The record is from RNAcentral.